UGUAUAAGUUUAAUCGUUUAUCGAGAAACCGCGAACGGCUCAUUACAAUGGCCAUUAUUUACUUGAUCUUGAUUGUCUAAAUGGAUAACUGUGGAAAAGCUAGAGCUAAUACAUGCACUAAAGCUUUGUCCUUACGGAAAAGCGCAUUUAUUAGAACAAAACCACGCGGCUUCGGCUGCUUCUUGUUGACUCAGAAUAACUUAGCUGACCGCAUGGCCUUGUGCCGGCGGCGUGUCUUUCAAGCGUCCACUUUAUCAACUUGACGGGAGCAUAAUCGACUCCCGUGGUGGUGACGGAUAACGGAGGAUCAGGGUUCGACUCCGGAGAAGGGGCCUGAGAAAUGGCCACUACGUCUAAGGAUGGCAGCAGGCGCGCAAAUUACCCACUCUCGGCUCGAGGAGGUAGUGACGAGAAAUAACGAGACUGUUCUCUUUGAGGCCGGUCAUCGGAAUGGGUACAAUUUAAACCCUUUAACGAGUAUCAAGCAGAGGGCAAGUCUGGUGCCAGCAGCCGCGGUAAUUCCAGCUCUGCAAAUACAUAGAAUUAUUGCUGCGGUUAGAAAGCUCAUAGUUGGAUUCGUAUCGAUACCUUGGAACCCUUCGGGUGUCUCUAGGUGUUAUCGAUUUAUCGUAAUGUUCGGUUUUGAGUCCUUAACAGGAUUCUUAACAGGCAUUGCAAGUUNACUUUGAACAAAUCAGAGUGCUUCAAACAGGCGUUUUCGCUUGAAUGAUCGUGCAUGGAAUAAUAGAAAAUGAUUUCGGUUCAGUUUUAUUGGUUUUACGGACUGAGAUAAUGGUUAACAGAGACAAACGGGGGCAUUUGUAUGGUCCCGUGAGAGGUGAAAUUCUUGGACCGUGGCCAGACAAACUACAGCGAAAGCAUUUGCCAAGAAUGUCUUCAUUAAUCAAGAACGAAAGUCAGAGGUUCGAAGGCGAUCAGAUACCGCCCUAGUUCUGACCGUAAACGAUGCCAACUAGCGAUCCGCCGAUGGAAAUUAUAUUGCCUUGGUGGGGAGCUUCCCGGAAACGAAAGUCUUCCGGUUCCGGGGGAAGUAUGGUUGCAAAGCUGAAACUUAAAGGAAUUGACGGAAGGGCACCACCAGGAGUGGAGCCUGCGGCUUAAUUUGACUCAACACGGGGAAACUCACCCGGCCCGGACACUGUGAGGAUUGACAGAUUGAUAGCUUUUUCAUGAUUCAGUGGAUGGUGGUGCAUGGCCGUUCUUAGUUCGUGGAGUGAUUUGUCUGGUUUAUUCCGAUAACGAGCGAGACUCUAACCUACUAAAUAGCUGGUACAUAAUUUAAGUGUAUACAGCUUCUUAGAGGGAUUUGCGGUGUUCAGCCGAAAGAAAUUGAGCAAUAACAGGUCUGUGAUGCCCUUAGAUGUCCGGGGCUGCACGCGCGCUACACUGGCAAAAUCAACGUGCUUGUCCUACCCCGAAAGGGGCGGGUAAACCAUUGAAAAUUUGCCGUGAUUGGGAUCGGAAAUUGCAAUUAUUUUCCGUGAACGAGGAAUUCCAAGUAAGUGCGAGUCAUCAGCUCGCGUUGAUUACGUCCCUGCCCUUUGUACACACCGCCCGUCGCCGCCCGGGACUGAGCCAUUUCGAGAAAUUUGGGGACCGUUGAUUUAAUUUUUCUAAAUUACUUUGAUGGAAACCAAUUUAAUCGCAGUGGCUUGAACCGGGCAAAAGUCGUAACAAGGUAGCUG
Molecule: ribosomal RNA, 1706 nt
Filed under: Meloidogyne incognita (southern root-knot nematode)
Lineage: Eukaryota; Metazoa; Nematoda; Chromadorea; Rhabditida; Meloidogynidae
Description: SSU rRNA
Rfam family: Eukaryotic small subunit ribosomal RNA
Source: RNAcentral